GAUGAACGCUGGCGGCGUGCCUAAUACAUGCGAGUCGAGCGAACAGACGAGGAGCUUGCUCCUCUGACGUUAGCGGCGGACGGGUGAGUAACACGUGGAUAACCUACCUAUAAGACUGGGAUAACUUCGGGAAACCGGAGCUAAUACCGGAUAAUAUAUUGAACCGCAUGGUUCAAUAGUGAAAGACGGUUUUGCUGUCACUUAUAGAUGGAUCCGCGCCGCAUUAGCUAGUUGGUAAGGUAACGGCUUACCAAGGCAACGAUGCGUAGCCGACCUGAGAGGGUGAUCGGCCACACUGGAACUGAGACACGGUCCAGACUCCUACGGGAGGCAGCAGUAGGGAAUCUUCCGCAAUGGGCGAAAGCCUGACGGAGCAACGCCGCGUGAGUGAUGAAGGUCUUCGGAUCGUAAAACUCUGUUAUUAGGGGAGAACAAAUGUGUAAGUAACUAUGCACGUCUUGACGGUACCUAAUCAGAAAGCCACGGCUAACUACGUG
This 497-nucleotide ribosomal RNA is filed under the name uncultured bacterium. RNAcentral's name for it is "partial 16S ribosomal RNA". It matches the Rfam family "Bacterial small subunit ribosomal RNA", at positions 28 to 507 of the family's 1533-position model. The record is from RNAcentral.